This is a non-coding RNA of Cajanus cajan (pigeon pea), 241 nucleotides long. NCBI's taxonomy places the organism in Eukaryota, Viridiplantae, Streptophyta, Magnoliopsida, Fabales, Fabaceae. The record is from RefSeq and is a predicted model, not a curated record.
AUCCUGGACCUCAGCAAAAGUUUCAAGCUUACUGAUCGUUCAUUGUAUGCUGUAGGCCUUGGUUGCCGUGAUCUUACAAAACUGAACAUCAGUGGUUAUUCAGCCUUCAGUGACAGUGCCCUGGCUUACCUUGCCAGCUUCUGCCGAAAGCUGAAAGUUUUGAAUCUCUGUGGAUGUGUUAAAGCUGCAUCUGAUACUGCUUUACAGGCUAUUGUCGUAGCAUUCUGGGAUUCCUCCUAAU